Molecule: ribosomal RNA, 322 nt
Filed under: uncultured Bacillota bacterium
Lineage: Bacteria; Bacillati; Bacillota
Description: bacterial SSU rRNA
Rfam family: Bacterial small subunit ribosomal RNA
Source: RNAcentral
GACGAACGCUGGCGGCGUGCCUAAUACAUGCAAGUCGAGCGAGGGUCUUUUAGACCCUAGCGGCGGACGGGUGAGUAACACGUAGGCAACCUGCCCGUAAGACCGGGAUAACAUAGGGAAACUUAUGCUAAUACCGGAUAGGGUGCCACCUCGCAUGAGGAGGCACGGAAAGAUGGCGCAAGCUAUCACUUACGGAUGGGCCUGCGGCGCAUUAGCUAGUUGGUGGGGUAACGGCCUACCAAGGCGACGAUGCGUAGCCGACCUGAGAGGGUGAUCGGCCACACUGGGACUGAGACACGGCCCAGACUCCUACGGGUGGCUG